Molecule: unclassified non-coding RNA, 229 nt
Filed under: uncultured fungus
Lineage: Eukaryota; Fungi
Description: sequence contains ITS1, 5.8S rRNA gene
Rfam family: 5.8S ribosomal RNA (bases 181-229)
Source: RNAcentral
UCUCCGUAGGUGAACCUGCGGAGGGUUCAUUACUGAGUGAGGGCUCACGCCCGCCCUCCAACCCUUUGUGAACACAUCUUGUUGCUUCGGGGGCGACCCUGCCGGCACUCUGUCGCCGGGCGCCCCCGAAGGUCUCCAAACACUGCAUCUUUGCGUCGGAGUUUAAAACAAAUUAAACAAAACUUUCACCAACGGAUCGCUUGGUUCUGGCAUCGAUGAAGAACGCAGC